This 395-nucleotide ribosomal RNA is filed under the name uncultured bacterium. RNAcentral describes it as "bacterial SSU rRNA". It matches the Rfam family "Bacterial small subunit ribosomal RNA", at positions 28 to 422 of the family's 1533-position model. The record is from RNAcentral.
AACGAACGCUGGCGGCGUGCUUAACACAUGCAAGUCGAGCGGUAAGGCCCUUUCGGGGGUACGACGAGCGGCGAACGGGUGAGUAACACGUGGGUGACCUGCCCUCAGCUCUGGGAUAAGCCUGGGAAACCGGGUCUAAUACCGGAUAUGACUCCAUGACGCAUGUUGUGGGGUGGAAAGCCUUGUGCGGCUGAGGAUGGGCCCGCGGCCUAUCAGCUUGUUGGUGGGGUGAUGGCCUACCAAGGCGACGACGGGUAGCCGGCCUGAGAGGGCGACCGGCCACACUGGGACUGAGGACACGGCCCAGACUCCUACGGGAGGCAGCAGUGGGGAAUAUUGGACAAUGGGCGAAAGCCUGAUCCAGCCAUGCCGCGUGAGUGAUGAAGGCCUUAGGG